GAACGCUAGCUACAGGCUUAACACAUGCAAGUCGAGGGGAAACGAUAUUGGAAGCUUGCUUCCGAUAGGCGUCGACCGGCGCACGGGUAAGUAACGCGUAUCCAACCUGCCCAUCACUUGGGGAUAACCUUGCGAAAGUAAGACUAAUACCCAAUGACGUCUCUAGAAGACAUCUGAAAGAGAUUAAAGAUUUAUCGGGUGAUGGAUGGGGAUGCGUCUGAUUAGCUUGUUGGCGGGGUAACGGCCCACCAAGGCGACGAUCAGUAGGGGUUCUGAGAGGAAGGUCCCCCACAUUGGAACUGAGACACGGUCCAAACUCCUACGGGAGGCAGCAGUGAGGAAUAUUGGUCAAUGGACGAGAGUCUGAACCAGCCAAGUAGCGUGCAGGAAGACGGCCCUAUGGGUUGUAAACUGCUUUUAUAAGGGAAUAAAGUGAGUCUCGUGAGACUUUUUGCAUGUACCUUAUGAAUAAGGACCGGCUAAUUCCGUG
This 490-nucleotide ribosomal RNA is filed under the name uncultured bacterium. Its description in RNAcentral is "bacterial SSU rRNA". It matches the Rfam family "Bacterial small subunit ribosomal RNA", at positions 31 to 507 of the family's 1533-position model. The record is from RNAcentral.